This 377-nucleotide long non-coding RNA is filed under the name Trifolium pratense (red clover). Its description in RNAcentral is "long non-coding RNA (TPRA_LNC010813)". Lineage: Eukaryota; Viridiplantae; Streptophyta; Magnoliopsida; Fabales; Fabaceae. The record is from RNAcentral.
GAAGAUAACUACUAAGCAAGUUGAAACCAGAAAAAGAAAAAAUAAGAACAGGAUUUCCCAAGAAGAUGAAUUCAAACAACACUUAGUGAUUGGCUGGAACCCAUCGAGGACCACCCAAACUAACCUGUGCUCGUUUUUUCUUUGUGAGAAGUGGACUAAUAGAAAGGAACUAUCUCAUCAUAUCCGUACAUAAUAAGGGUGAUUUGAUUCUUGUAUUGUUACAAAAUUUUACAUCAAAAGCCUUGAUCAUUGCCUUGUAUGUUACAGCUGCUAUGCUUUAAGUUUAGGAUAAUGGCUUGCUCCCUUUCCCUCGUGUACAACACCUCGAUUGCUAUAUAUUCUUGUAUCUGGUUAAUUGUAAAUCAAUACUGAACUAU